AAAGAUUUAGUUUAAAUAAAACAUAAACUUGUCAAGUUUAAAAAACUAUUAUAAGUAUUCUUUU
RNAcentral lists this transfer RNA (64 nucleotides) under Penthimia melanocephala. RNAcentral describes it as "tRNA-Asp". Lineage: Eukaryota; Metazoa; Arthropoda; Insecta; Hemiptera; Cicadellidae. The record is from RNAcentral. RNAcentral also lists the same sequence under 1 other name.